AUGUACAAGAGAGGUGAAGUCAGGGAUCGUCUACUAGUUGGCAUCUACGUCGACGAUCUGUUGAUAACUGGAGCAGAUGAAGAGGCGAUUGCAAAGUUUAAGCUACAAAUGAAGGAGCUUUUCAAGAUGGAUGAUCUAGGUUUAUUGAGUUGCAACCUCGGGAUUGAGGUACAUCAAAAGCCGAAGGGGAUCACACUAUGCCAGGAGGCAUAUGCAAGGAAGAUACUUGAAAGCCGUGGCAUGAAAGAUUGCAAUCGCAUUGUCACUCCAAUGGAACCUCGUCUUGAGCUGAGCAAGAAGAGCAAAGUAUCCGUAGUUGAUGCAAUAGAGUAUAUUGCAGCGGCCGCUGCGGCGUGUCAAGGUGUGUGGCUAGGGAAGCUACACGGUGAUCUCAUGGAUCGAGAUCCGGAACCAGCGGUGCUCAAUGUUGACGGCGAGUCUAUAACUUUUCUACGCGAGGAUCCAGUGCGGCAUGAAAGGAGCAAGCACAUUGAUACGGUAUAUCACUACAUAAAGAACUGUGUGGAAGAAGGUAAGAUGAAGGUCAACUACGUUUGCACCGAUGAUCAACGAGCGGAUAUGCUAACCAAGACUUUGGACCGGCAGAAGUUCUUGGAGAUGCGAAGAAGAAUCGGCGUCGGAGCUGUGACGUGA
This 654-nucleotide ribosomal RNA is filed under the name Triticum aestivum (bread wheat). RNAcentral's name for it is "partial small subunit ribosomal RNA". Lineage: Eukaryota; Viridiplantae; Streptophyta; Magnoliopsida; Poales; Poaceae. The record is from RNAcentral.